RNAcentral lists this ribosomal RNA (446 nucleotides) under uncultured bacterium. RNAcentral describes it as "SSU rRNA". It matches the Rfam family "Bacterial small subunit ribosomal RNA", at positions 26 to 518 of the family's 1533-position model. The record is from RNAcentral.
AGAGCGAACGCUGGCGGCAGGCCUAACACAUGCAAGUCGAGCGCCCGUAGCAAUACGGGAGCGGCAGACGGGAUAGUAACACGUGGGAACGCGCCCUUCGGUUCGGAAUAACUCAGGGAAACUUGAGCUAAUACCGGAUACGCCCUUACGGGGAAAGAUUUAUUGCCGAAGGAACGGCCCGCGUCCGAUUAGCUAGUUGGUGAGGUAAUGGCUCACCAAGGCGACGAUCGGUAGCUGGUCUGAGAGGAUGACCAGCAUCACUGGGACUGAGACACGGCCCAGACUCCUACGGGAGGCAGCAGUGGGGAAUAUUGGACAAUGGGCGCAAGCCUGAUCCAGCCAUGCCGCGUGGAUGAUGAAGGCCUUAGGGUUGUAAAGUCCGUUUUAACGGGGAAGAUAAUGACGGUACCGUAAAUAAGCCCGGCUAACUUCGCGCCAGCAGCCGC